This 164-nucleotide ribosomal RNA is filed under the name uncultured bacterium. RNAcentral's name for it is "partial 16S ribosomal RNA". It matches the Rfam family "Bacterial small subunit ribosomal RNA", at positions 118 to 284 of the family's 1533-position model. The record is from RNAcentral.
UGAGCAAUCUGCCCUUCUCAUCGGAAUAAGCGUUGGAAACGACGUCUAAUGCCGAAUAUGACCUCCUUUCACAUGAUCGGAGGUGGAAAGCUCCGGCGGAGAAGGAUGAGCUCGCGGCCUAUCAGCUUGUUGGUGGGUAAUGGCCUACCAAGGCGACGACGGGU